Molecule: long non-coding RNA, 514 nt
Organism: Xiphophorus hellerii (green swordtail)
Lineage: Eukaryota; Metazoa; Chordata; Actinopteri; Cyprinodontiformes; Poeciliidae
Exons: 4
Source: RefSeq, a predicted model, not a curated record
UGUUUUCUCUGCUGUUGAACUGAAGGUCAAAGCAAAAUUGUUCUGUCUGGAGUCGUACCACAUCAGUGGCAUUGAGGGACGUCCAGUAACUCUGCAGUGUCCUAAUUCAGGACAACAACAUGAUAACAAGAAGUUCCUCUGUAAAGGAGACCAACACAACAACUGUACAGACAUGAUGGAGAACCAAACAAAGUUCAAGCUGCUCAAUGUCUCCUCCAUCUGUUUCUCUGUGAUCAUCACUGAACUGGAAGCAGCUGAUGCAGGAACAUACUACUGUGGUUCAGACUCUCAGCUGAGAUUCAUAAAGAUACAGCUGGCAGUCGUCUCACUGCAUGAAACCAGCUCUGCUGAACAUUUGACAUCACAGCCACCAUCAUAUAAUCCUGAUCUGACCUUAUUUUACAUUCUGCGUGUCGUCCUGUUUCUGCUGUGGAUCCUGCCGUUUGUCCUUCUGAUGAUUCUUCAAAGAAAAUUGAAGCCACAAGGUGAAUUUAAUCAGAACAUCAACCCACAA